This 76-nucleotide transfer RNA is filed under the name Fimbriimonas ginsengisoli. Its description in RNAcentral is "tRNA-Arg". It matches the Rfam family "tRNA". From Rfam's summary of the family: Transfer RNA (tRNA) molecules are approximately 80 nucleotides in length. Their secondary structure includes four short double-helical elements and three loops (D, anti-codon, and T loops). The record is from RNAcentral. Lineage: Bacteria; Bacillati; Armatimonadota; Fimbriimonadia; Fimbriimonadales; Fimbriimonadaceae.
GCGGGCGUAGCUCAACGGAUAGAGCAUCAGUCUUCGGAACUGAGGGUUGGGGGUUCGAGUCCCUCCGUCCGCGCCA